GAAACUGUAGCUCAGCAGCAGAGCCUCUGCUUUGCAUGCAAAAGGUCCCAGGUUCAAGCCUUGGGUUCUCCA
RNAcentral lists this transfer RNA (72 nucleotides) under Sphaerodactylus townsendi. Its description in RNAcentral is "tRNA-Ala". Lineage: Eukaryota; Metazoa; Chordata; Lepidosauria; Squamata; Sphaerodactylidae. The record is from RNAcentral.